CAUUCGGAUUGUAGUCUGCAACUCGACUACAUGAAGCUGGAAUCGCUAGUAAUCGCAGAUCAGAAUGCUGCGGUGAAUACGUUCCCGGGUCUUGUACACACCGCCCGUCACACCAUGGGAGUCGGAAAUGCCCGAAGCCGGUGACCAAACCAAUAAGGAAGGAGCCGUCGAAGGCAGGUCUGAUAACUGGGGUGAAGUCGUAACAAGGUAGC
RNAcentral lists this ribosomal RNA (212 nucleotides) under uncultured bacterium. RNAcentral's name for it is "partial 16S ribosomal RNA". It matches the Rfam family "Bacterial small subunit ribosomal RNA", at positions 1288 to 1500 of the family's 1533-position model. The record is from RNAcentral.